This 45-nucleotide non-coding RNA is filed under the name Schistosoma mansoni. Lineage: Eukaryota; Metazoa; Platyhelminthes; Trematoda; Strigeidida; Schistosomatidae. The record is from RNAcentral.
AUCCAGCUGAGGAGUUCAAAAUAGGACGAAACGCGCGUCCUGGAU